This 301-nucleotide ribosomal RNA is filed under the name uncultured bacterium. Its description in RNAcentral is "partial 16S ribosomal RNA". It matches the Rfam family "Bacterial small subunit ribosomal RNA", at positions 509 to 809 of the family's 1533-position model. The record is from RNAcentral.
CAGUAGCCGCGGUAAUACGAAGGGUGCAAGCGUUAAUCGGAAUUACUGGGCGUAAAGCGUGCGUAGGCGGUUUGUUAAGUCUGCUGUGAAAUCCCCGGGCUCAACCUGGGAAUGGCAGUGGAUACUGGCAAGCUAGAGUGUGUCAGAGGAUGGUGGAAUUCCCGGUGUAGCGGUGAAAUGCGUAGAGAUCGGGAGGAACAUCAGUGGCGAAGGCGGCCAUCUGGGACAACACUGACGCUGAGGCACGAAAGCGUGGGGAGCAAACAGGAUUAGAUACCCCCGUAGUCCCUGUCUCUUAUAU